This is a long non-coding RNA of Thunnus maccoyii (southern bluefin tuna), 3292 nucleotides long. RefSeq lists it as uncharacterized. NCBI's taxonomy places the organism in Eukaryota, Metazoa, Chordata, Actinopteri, Scombriformes, Scombridae. The record is from RefSeq and is a predicted model, not a curated record. The transcript has 3 exons.
CUAAGACAUCCAAAGCAGGAGUUGAGAGUGGAAGGGAUACGCCUACAUGUUGAAGGUAUCAGUUCCCCUGGUAGGAGACUUCAGUAAAGGCCAGGAGCAUACUGCAAGUGCUGCAUAUCCGCUCUGUUCUCGAAAUGCCUCGUGAUCCCCUAAAAAGUGCAAGAGGAGGAGGCAGGGGAAGACAGCAUUCACACCUUUCUGCUGAGCAUGCAACCGCCUCAACCUGACCUAGAAAGCGCAGACAAACAGAUGGAUGGAUCCAACAGUGGUUGCUUGGAAAAAAGGUACACUGUGUAAAUUUCACCCAGAUGCAAUCACAUGGUUAAGGCUGUCUGUGGGUCAUUGGUGUAGGGGUAUAAUUCUUGCUUAGGGUGUGAGCGGUCCCGGGUUCAAAUUCUGGACGAGCCCUGAGAUUCAGGAAUUUGAGUGCUUCUUUUGGGUUGUCUGUUUUCAUUUUUCAAGUUUGAAACCUUUAGGAACAGUGGGAAAGCUACAACAUACUAGGGAGGUGAGAGUCAAACUGCUCCACCUACAUGUUGAAGUUCCCAGUUCAAAUGUUUGGGAGGUAUGCCGGGCACAUCAAGGCUGGAAGAGACUGCAAGCUGACAUGGAAAUUGAAGACAAAUUGAUGAAUGGCAGGAUGGAUCCAACAGUAGUUGCUGGGGAGAAGGUACACUGAACCAAAUUCUCCCAGCUGCAAUGGCAUGGCUGAAGUGCUCUGUGGCUCGUUGGUCUAGGGGUAUGAUUCUCGCUUUGGGUGCGAGAGGUCCCGGGUUCAAAUCCCGGACGAGCCCAGGAGUCAGGAAUGUGGCUACUUACUGUGGGGUUUCUGCCUAGGUUUGGAGCUGUUGGGAAGCUAAGACAUCCUAAGAAGGAGUUGAGAGUGGAAGUGCUACGCCCACAUGUUGAAGGUAUCAGUUGAGAGGUAUGCUGGUCACAUCCCCCUGCUAGGAGACUGCUGUCAAUGGAGGAGGAGCAUACUGUAAGUGCUGCAUAUCCUCUCUCUUAUCGAAAUGCCUCGUGAUCCCCCUAAACAGUGCAGGUGGAGGAGGCAGGGGAAGACAGCAUUUAGCCAUUUUUGCUGAGCAUGCAACCACUGCAACCUGACCUGGAAAGUGAAGACAAAUAGACGGAUGGAUCCAACGGUGGUUGCUGGGAAAAAAGGCACACUCUGCAAAUUUCGACCCGCUGCAAUCGUAUUGUUGCUGCUUUCUGCGGCUCGUUGGUCUAGGGGUAUGAUUCUCGCUUAGGGUGCGAGAGGUCCCGGGUUCAAAUCCCGGACGAGCCCAAAGGUGAGGAAUGUGGCUGCUUAUUGUGCGUUAUGUCGUUAUGUGGCUUGUUCUUAAAAGUGUUGAGAAGCUAAUACAUCCUAAGAAGGGGUUGAGAGUGGAAGUGCUCUACCUACAUGUUGAAGGUGUCAGUCAAGUCAGUUGGGAGGUACGCUGGGCAUGUCCUCUUGGGAGGAGACUUCAGUAGACACCAGGAGCAUACUGAAAGUGCUGCAUUUCCGUUGUGUUCUUAAAAUGCCUCACGAUCCCCUAGGCAGUGCAAGAGGAGGCGGGGAAGACAGCAUUUAGGCAUAAAUGCUAAACAUGCAACCGCUGCAACCUGACCUGGAAAGUGAAGACAAUUAGACGGAUAAAUGGAUGGAUCCAACAGUAGUUGCUUGAAAAAAAGGUACACUGUUUAGAUUUCACCCGUCUGGAAUCGCACGGUUAAUGCUGUUCGUGGCUCGUUGGUCUAGGGGUAUGAUUCUCGCUUCGGGUGCGAGAGGUCCCGGGUUCAAAUCCCGGACGAGCCCAGGAGUCAGGAAUGUGGCUACUUACUGUGGGUUAGCUGGCUGGGUUUGGAACUCUUGGGAAGCUAAGACAUCCAAAGAAGGAGUUGAGAGUGGAAGGGAUACGCCUACAUGUUGAAGGUAUCAGUUCCCCUGGUAGGAGACUUCAGUAAAGGCCAGGAGCAUACUGCAAGUGCUGCAUAGCCGCUCUGUUCUCGAAAUGCCUCGUGAUCCCCUAAAAAGUGCAAGAGGAGGAGGCAGGGGAAGACAGCAUUCACACCUUUCUGCUGAGCAUGCAACCGCCUCAACCUGACCUAGAAAGCGCAGACAAACAGAUGGAUGGAUCCAACAGUGGUUGCUUGGAAAAAAGGUACACUGUGUAAAUUUCACCCAGAUGCAAUCACAUGGUUAAGGCUGUCUGUGGGUCAUUGGUGUAGGGGUAUAAUUCUUGCUUAGGGUGUGAGCGGUCCCGGGUUCAAAUUCUGGACGAGCCCUGAGAUUCAGGAAUUUGAGUGCUUCUUUUGGGUUGUCUGUUUUCAUUUUUCAAGUUUGAAACCUUUAGGAACAGUGGGAAAGCUACAACAUACUAGGGAGGUGAGAGUCAAACUGCUCCACCUACAUGUUGAAGUUCCCAGUUCAAAUGUUUGGGAGGUAUGCCGGGCACAUCAAGGCUGGAAGAGACUGCAAGCUGACAUGGAAAUUGAAGACAAAUUGAUGAAUGGCAGGAUGGAUCCAACAGUAGUUGCUGGGGAGAAGGUACACUGAACCAAAUUCUCCCAGCUGCAAUGGCAUGGCUGAAGUGCUCUGUGGCUCGUUGGUCUAGGGGUAUGAUUCUCGCUUUGGGUGCGAGAGGUCCCGGGUUCAAAUCCCGGACGAGCCCAGGAGUCAGGAAUGUGGCUACUUACUGUGGGGUUUCUGCCUAGGUUUGGAGCUGUUGGGAAGCUAAGACAUCCUAAGAAGGAGUUGAGAGUGGAAGUGCUACGCCCACAUGUUGAAGGUAUCAGUUGAGAGGUAUGCUGGUCACAUCCCCCUGCUAGGAGACUGCUGUCAAUGGAGGAGGAGCAUACUGUAAGUGCUGCAUAUCCUCUCUCUUAUCGAAAUGCCUCGUGAUCCCCCUAAACAGUGCAGGUGGAGGAGGCAGGGGAAGACAGCAUUUAGCCAUUUUUGCUGAGCAUGCAACCACUGCAACCUGACCUGGAAAGUGAAGACAAAUAGACGGAUGGAUCCAACGGUGGUUGCUGGGAAAAAAGGCACACUCUGCAAAUUUCGACCCGCUGCAAUCGUAUUGUUGCUGCUUUCUGCGGCUCGUUGGUCUAGGGGUAUGAUUCUCGCUUAGGGUGCGAGAGGUCCCGGGUUCAAAUCCCGGACGAGCCCAAAGGUGAGGAAUGUGGCUGCUUAUUGUGCGUUAUGUCGUUAUGUGGCUUGUUCUUAAAAGUGUUGAGAAGCUAAUACAUCCUAAGAAGGGGUUGAGAGUGGAAGUGCUCUACCUACAUGUUGAAGGUGUCAGUCAAGUCA